GACGAACGCUGGCGGCGUGCUUAACACAUGCAAGUCGAACGGAAAGGCCCUGCUUUUGUGGGGUGCUCGAGUGGCGAACGGGUGAGUAACACGUGAGUAACCUGCCCUUGACUUUGGGAUAACUUCAGGAAACUGGGGCUAAUACCGGAUAGGAGCUCCUGCUGCAUGGUGGGGGUUGGAAAGUUUCGGCGGUUGGGGAUGGACUCGCGGCUUAUCAGCUUGUUGGUGGGGUAGUGGCUUACCAAGGCUUUGACGGGUAGCCGGCCUGAGAGGGUGACCGGCCACAUUGGGACUGAGAUACGGCCCAGACUCCUACGGGAGGCAGCAGUGGGGAAUAUUGCACAAUGGGCGGAAGCCUGAUGCAGCAACGCCGCGUGCGGGAUGACGGCCUUCGGGUUGUAAACCGCUUUCGCCUGUGACGAAGCGUGAGUGACGGUAAUGGGUAAAGAAGCACCGGCUAACUACGUGCCAGCAGCCGCGGUGAUACGUAGGGUGCGAGCGUUGUCCGGAUUUAUUGGGCGUAAAGGGCUCGUAGGUGGUUGAUCGCGUCGGAAGUGUAAUCUUGGGGCUUAACCCUGAGCGUGCUUUCGAUACGGGUUGACUUGAGGAAGGUUUUGGGAGAGUGGAAUUCCUGGUGGAGCGGUGGAAUGCGCAGAUAUCAGGAGGAACACCAGUGGCGAAGGCGGUUCUCUGGGCCUUUCCUGACGCUGAGGAGCGAAAGCGUGGGGAGCGAACAGGCUUAGAUACCCUGGUAGUCCACGCUGUAAACGGUGGGUACUAGGUGUGGGGUCCAUUCCACGGGUUCCGUGCCGUAGCUAACGCUUUAAGUACCCCGCCUGGGGAGUACGGCCGCAAGGCUAAAACUCAAAGGAAUUGACGGGGCCCCGCACAAGCGGCGGAGCAUGCGGAUUAAUUCGAUGCAACGCGUAGAACCUUACCUGGGUUUGACAUGGAUCGGGAGCGCUCAGAGAUGGGUGUGCCUCUUUUGGGGUCGGUUCACAGGUGGUGCAUGGCUGUCGUCAGCUCGUGUCGUGAGAUGUUGGGUUAAGUCCCGCAACGAGCGCAACCCUUGUUCACUGUUGCCAGCACGUUAUGGUGGGGACUCAGUGGAGACCGCCGGGGUCAACUCGGAGGAAGGUGGGGAUGACGUCAAGUCAUCAUGCCCCUUAUGUCCAGGGCUUCACGCAUGCUACAAUGGCUGGUACAGAGAGUGGCGAGCCUGUGAGGGUGAGCGAAUCUCGGAAAGCCGGUCUCAGUUCGGAUUGGGGUCUGCAACUCGACCUCAUGAAGUCGGAGUCGCUAGUAAUCGCAGAUCAGCAACGCUGCGGUGAAUACGUUCCCGGGGCU
This 1347-nucleotide ribosomal RNA is filed under the name uncultured bacterium. RNAcentral describes it as "bacterial SSU rRNA". It matches the Rfam family "Bacterial small subunit ribosomal RNA", at positions 28 to 1381 of the family's 1533-position model. The record is from RNAcentral.